CCCAGGGGAGAGUGGGCUAUGGAGGAGCCUGGCUCGUUGGUCACGGGAGACCGCGCCGGUGGCCGAAGCUGGUGCUUGCGGCGGGUAGGGAUGAACGCCGAGUGGCUGCUGCUGGAGGACGGAAACGAGGUGACGAUAGGGCGAGGAUUUGGUGUCACAUACCAGCUGGUAUCAAAAAUCUGCCCUCUGAUGAUUUCCCGAAACCACUGUGUUUUGAAGCAGAAUGUCGAGGGCCAGUGGACAAUUAUGGACAAUAAGAGUCUGAAUGGUGUUUGGCUGAACAGAGAACGUCUAGAACCUUUAAAGAUCUAUUCUAUCCAUAAGGGAGACCACAUCCAGCUCGGAGUACCUCUGGAGAAUAAGGAGAAUGCAGAGUAUGAAUAUGAUGUUACUGAAGAAGACUGGGAGAGGAUGUAUCCUUGUCUUGCCCCAAAGAAUAACCAGAUGACAGGAAAAAAUAGGGGAUUGAGAACUAAAAGGAAAUUUAGUUUGGAUGAAUCAGAGGGUCCUGGAGCUGAAGGCCCCUCAAAUUUGAAAUCCAAAAUAAGUAAAGUGUCUUGCGAACCUGGUCAACCAGCGAAGUCUCAUGGGAAAGGUGAAGUGGCCAGUCAACCCGCUGAAUAUUUGGAUCCUAAGUUGACUUCUGUUGAGCCAAGUGAGAAGGCCACAGAGGCUCAUGUUCAGCCUGGUUCUGCAAAAGUCAUAGAGCUUCAUCAUAAGAAGCAGAAAGCCUCAAACCCUUCAGUAUCUCAGAGCAGUUUGGAGCUGUUCAAGGUGACCAUGUCCAGGAUUCUGAAGCUGAAAACACAAAUGCAGGAAAAACAGGUAGCUGUCCUGAAGGUGAAAAAGCAAACCCAAAAGGGGAACUCAAAGAAAAUUGUGAAAAUGGAGCAGGAGCUACAGGACUUACAGUCUCAGCUGUGUGCAGAGCAGGCCCAGCAACAGGCCAGAGUGGAGCAGCUAGAGAAGACUUUCCAGGAAGAGGAACAGCAUCUCCAGGGUUUGGAGAAGGAGCAAGGAGAAGAGGACCUGAAGCAACAGCUGGCCCAGGCUCUGCAGGAGCAUCGGGCUCUAAUGGAAGAACUAAAUCGCAGCAAGAAGGACUUUGAAGCAAUCAUUCAAGCCAAGAACAAAGAAUUGGAACAGACCAAGGAAGAGAAGGAGAAGGUGCAGGCACAGAAGGAAGAAGUGCUUAGCCACGUGAAUGACGUGCUAGAGAAUGAGCUCCAGUGUAUUAUUUGCUCCGAAUACUUCAUUGAGGCUGUCACCUUGAACUGUGCCCACAGUUUCUGCUCUUACUGUAUCAAUGAGUGGAUGAAGCGGAAGGUAGAAUGCCCCAUUUGUCGGAAGGACAUCAAGUCCAAAACCCACUCCCUGGUUCUGGAUAAUUGCAUUAAUAAGAUGGUAGAUAAUCUGACCUCAGAAGUGAAAGAACGACGAAUUGUCCUCAUUAGGGAACGAAAAGAAUGUCAUAGAAUUAGGUGCAUCAUCGUUGAGGCUUCUCUGCACCAGCUGGAUAUAUAUCCUGCCCGACUGCCUGCCACUGUGAUUUUUAAGAAAUCUGAUGAGACCAGACAUGCUCCUAUUCCUGGCUAAGACAUCUGCUUGAAUUGCUUUCUGCUUUCCUACUCUGGAGAGUUUGGACCUCUUUUACCCUUGUCCCAUGAAACCUGAAUCAGAACCAACCACAAAGAGUAUCUCUUCCUUGAUUCCUAUCAUCUGGGCCUUUCCUUCUCAGUUCUUACUAAGUGCCAGGUGUUGGGGAUAAAACAAAGAGACUGUCCUGAAGACCACGCUCCAGGGGCGUUCAAGGGAUUUGAUUGCCAGGCAAUGGGAGCUUGGGAUGGUCUGGAGGAUUAUCUGUGGCCAGGUCUUGGGCUGCUCUGAGAUAGAGCAUGGGACGGAGCCACGUGGGACAGAGACUGAGUUAGGAAGUCCUCCUCAUGAUCCUCCGUGUUGGCCGGCCGCGCUGCCAUCGCUGUCUGAGGCCGUGCUGGUACUCCCCACGAGGGCUGCUUCCGGGUACUUGAUAGACUGCUUCACUGUGUGUUGAAUGGGUUAUGUAUUUCUGUUCUGCUUUUUAAAUUUAUUGUUUUUGUUAUCAUUUGGGUACCUCAGAAGCACGUCAGUUGACAUUUGUUUUGGACAGGUUGGGUGUAACCCCUACGGCUGCCCCUAAAAGCCAAGGCAGCCUCCCUUGGAGAGGAUGGCCUGCCUCUUUGUGAAAACAAGAUGUCAUUUCCUGGAAAUAAAAUGUAAAGCCUA
This is an RNA transcript of Lutra lutra (Eurasian river otter), 2265 nucleotides long. It is a transcript of the gene named ring finger protein 8, with no coding region annotated. Lineage: Eukaryota; Metazoa; Chordata; Mammalia; Carnivora; Mustelidae. The transcript is spliced from 9 exons. The record is from RefSeq and is a predicted model, not a curated record.